AGAAGUGGCUGAGAGGCUUAAGGCACCCGAUUGAAAAUCGGGCGAGCUCCUGAAUAAGGGGCUCCGAGGGUUCGAAUCCCUUCUUCU
Molecule: transfer RNA, 87 nt
Filed under: Cohnella thailandensis
Lineage: Bacteria; Bacillati; Bacillota; Bacilli; Caryophanales; Paenibacillaceae
Rfam family: tRNA
About the family: Transfer RNA (tRNA) molecules are approximately 80 nucleotides in length. Their secondary structure includes four short double-helical elements and three loops (D, anti-codon, and T loops).
Source: Rfam by way of RNAcentral